This 2915-nucleotide ribosomal RNA is filed under the name Vibrio parahaemolyticus. Its description in RNAcentral is "23S ribosomal RNA". It matches the Rfam family "Bacterial large subunit ribosomal RNA". Lineage: Bacteria; Pseudomonadati; Pseudomonadota; Gammaproteobacteria; Vibrionales; Vibrionaceae. The record is from RNAcentral.
GUUGUAUGGUUAAGUGACUAAGCGUACACGGUGGAUGCCUUGGCAGUCAGAGGCGAUGAAAGACGUAGUAACUUGCGAUAAGCCCAGAUUAGGUAGUAACAACCAUUUGAGUCUGGGAUUUCUGAAUGGGGAAACCCACGUGCAUAAGCACGUAUCCUUACCUGAAUACAUAGGGUAAGGAGGCGAACCGGGGGAACUGAAACAUCUAAGUACCCCGAGGAAAAGAAAUCAACCGAGAUUCCGAAAGUAGCGGCGAGCGAAAUUGGACUAGCCCUUAAGCUUUACACGCGUUAGACGAACGGUCUGGAAAGUCCGACGAUACAGGGUGAUAGUCCCGUAGUUGACGACGUGUGUUCAGUGAAAUCGAGUAGGGCGGGACACGUGAUAUCCUGUCUGAAUAUGGGGGGACCAUCCUCCAAGGCUAAAUACUACUGACUGACCGAUAGUGAACCAGUACCGUGAGGGAAAGGCGAAAAGAACCCCUGUGAGGGGAGUGAAAUAGAACCUGAAACCGUGUACGUACAAGCAGUAGGAGCACCUUCGUGGUGUGACUGCGUACCUUUUGUAUAAUGGGUCAGCGACUUAUAUUCAGUGGCAAGGUUAACCAUCUAGGGGAGCCGUAGGGAAACCGAGUCUUAACUGGGCGUUCAGUCUCUGGAUAUAGACCCGAAACCAGGUGAUCUAGCCAUGGGCAGGUUGAAGGUUGAGUAACAUCAACUGGAGGACCGAACCGACUAAUGUUGAAAAAUUAGCGGAUGACUUGUGGCUAGGGGUGAAAGGCCAAUCAAACCUGGAGAUAGCUGGUUCUCCCCGAAAGCUAUUUAGGUAGCGCCUCGGACGAAUACUACUGGGGGUAGAGCACUGUUAAGGCUAGGGGGUCAUCCCGACUUACCAACCCUUUGCAAACUCCGAAUACCAGUAAGUACUAUCCGGGAGACACACGGCGGGUGCUAACGUCCGUCGUGGAGAGGGAAACAACCCAGACCGCCAGCUAAGGUCCCAAAUUACUACUAAGUGGGAAACGAUGUGGGAAGGCUCAGACAGCCAGGAUGUUGGCUUAGAAGCAGCCAUCAUUUAAAGAAAGCGUAAUAGCUCACUGGUCGAGUCGGCCUGCGCGGAAGAUGUAACGGGGCUAAGUAGUAAACCGAAGCUGCGGCAAUAUACUUUUGUAUAUUGGGUAGGGGAGCGUUCUGUAAGCGGUUGAAGGUGUGUGGUAACGCAUGCUGGACGUAUCAGAAGUGCGAAUGCUGACAUGAGUAACGAUAAAGGGGGUGAAAAACCUCCUCGCCGGAAGACCAAGGGUUCCUGUCCAACGUUAAUCGGGGCAGGGUAAGUCGACCCCUAAGGCGAGGCCGAAAGGCGUAGUCGAUGGGAAACGGGUUAAUAUUCCCGUACUUCUUACAAUUGCGAUGGGGGGACGGAGAAGGCUAGGUGGGCCUGGCGACGGUUGUCCAGGUUCAAGUGCGUAGGCUUAAGAGUUAGGUAAAUCCGGCUCUUUUUAAGGCUGAGACACGACGUCGAGCACCUACGGGUGUGAAGUCAUUGAUGCCAUGCUUCCAGGAAAAGCCUCUAAGCUUCAGAUUGUAAGGAAUCGUACCCCAAACCGACACAGGUGGUCGGGUAGAGAAUACCAAGGCGCUUGAGAGAACUCGGGUGAAGGAACUAGGCAAAAUGGUACCGUAACUUCGGGAGAAGGUACGCUCUCGACGGUGAAGUCCCUUGCGGAUGGAGCUAUUGAGAGUCGCAGAUACCAGGUGGCUGCAACUGUUUAUUAAAAACACAGCACUGUGCAAAAUCGUAAGAUGACGUAUACGGUGUGACGCCUGCCCGGUGCCGGAAGGUUAAUUGAUGGGGUUAGACUUCGGUCGAAGCUCUUGAUCGAAGCCCCGGUAAACGGCGGCCGUAACUAUAACGGUCCUAAGGUAGCGAAAUUCCUUGUCGGGUAAGUUCCGACCUGCACGAAUGGCGUAAUGAUGGCCACGCUGUCUCCACCCGAGACUCAGUGAAAUUGAAAUCGCUGUGAAGAUGCAGUGUACCCGCGGCUAGACGGAAAGACCCCGUGAACCUUUACUACAGCUUGGCACUGAACAUUGACCCUACAUGUGUAGGAUAGGUGGGAGGCUUUGAAGCACGUACGCCAGUAUGUGUGGAGCCGUCCUUGAAAUACCACCCUUGUAGUGUUGAUGUUCUAACGUCGACCCCUUAUCGGGGUUGCGGACAGUGCCUGGUGGGUAGUUUGACUGGGGCGGUCUCCUCCCAAAGAGUAACGGAGGAGCACGAAGGUGGGCUAAUCACGGUUGGACAUCGUGAGGUUAGUGCAAUGGCAUAAGCCCGCUUGACUGCGAGAAUGACAAUUCGAGCAGGUGCGAAAGCAGGUCAUAGUGAUCCGGUGGUUCUGAAUGGAAGGGCCAUCGCUCAACGGAUAAAAGGUACUCCGGGGAUAACAGGCUGAUACCGCCCAAGAGUUCAUAUCGACGGCGGUGUUUGGCACCUCGAUGUCGGCUCAUCACAUCCUGGGGCUGAAGUCGGUCCCAAGGGUAUGGCUGUUCGCCAUUUAAAGUGGUACGCGAGCUGGGUUUAGAACGUCGUGAGACAGUUCGGUCCCUAUCUGCCGUGGGCGUUGGAAGAUUGAAGGGGGCUGCUCCUAGUACGAGAGGACCGGAGUGGACGAACCUCUGGUGUUCGGGUUGUGUCGCCAGACGCAUUGCCCGGUAGCUAAGUUCGGAAUCGAUAACCGCUGAAAGCAUCUAAGCGGGAAGCGAGCCCUGAGAUGAGUCUUCCCUGAUACUUUAAGUAUCCUAAAGGGUUGUCGGAGACUACGACGUUGAUAGGUCAGGUGUGUAAGUGCUGUGAGGCAUUGAGCUAACUGAUACUAAUUGCCCGUGAGGCUUAACCAUACAACACCCAAGGGGUUU